RNAcentral lists this ribosomal RNA (330 nucleotides) under Hesione sp. CR-2006. Its description in RNAcentral is "eukaryotic LSU rRNA". It matches the Rfam family "Eukaryotic large subunit ribosomal RNA", at positions 42 to 365 of the family's 3401-position model. The record is from RNAcentral. Lineage: Eukaryota; Metazoa; Annelida; Polychaeta; Phyllodocida; Hesionidae.
AUCACUAAGCGGAGGAAAAGAAACUAACAAGGAUUCCCCUAGUAACGGCGAGUGAAGCGGGAAGAGCCCAGCACCGAAUCCCUUGCCAUUGCGGUACUGGGAACUGUGGUGUUUAGGACAGCCUAUGGGGCGGAGUCUAGCGUCCGAGUCCUCCUGAUCGGGGCCUUUCCCAUAGCGGGUGUCAGGCCUCUACUGGCGUUGGACUCCUUCCCUCUGAGCGUCCUUGGAGUCGGGUUGUUUGGGAAUGCAGCCCAAAGUGGGUGGUAAACUCCAUCUAAGGCUAAAUACCGACACGAGUCCGAUAGCGGACAAGUACCGUGAGGGAAAGUU